RNAcentral lists this unclassified non-coding RNA (240 nucleotides) under soil metagenome. Its description in RNAcentral is "partial contains 5.8S ribosomal RNA, internal transcribed spacer 2, and large subunit ribosomal RNA". The record is from RNAcentral.
AACUGAUACUACCUGCGGGAACCUGCGGAAGGAUCAUUACAGAGUUGCAAAACUCCAAACCAUUGUGAACUUACCUUUGCCGUUGCUUCGGCGGGCGGCGUCGGGAUCUGCCCGGCGCCCCCCGGCCCCGCGAGGGGCGCCCGCCGGAGGUAAACCAAACCCUUGAAUUGUAUGGCCUCUCUGAGUCUUCUGUACUGAAUAAGUCAAAACUUUCAGCAACGGAUCUCUAGAUCGGAAGAG